RNAcentral lists this long non-coding RNA (255 nucleotides) under Vigna radiata. RNAcentral's name for it is "long non-coding RNA (VRAD_LNC001832)". Lineage: Eukaryota; Viridiplantae; Streptophyta; Magnoliopsida; Fabales; Fabaceae. The record is from RNAcentral.
ACUCAUUUAAUAUCUACACUUAAGAUACACAAUGUAGUACCCUAGACACGAAUGACAACAAUAACGUGAACUUUUUAGGAACAAACAACCUUAAGGAAAAUGCAAAAUCAAUGAAAAAGAAAAAAAAAUUGAAUGGAAAAGAAUGAAAAACCACUCACCAAUGUUCAACAUUGAGCUUCAGCAACAAACUCGGGUUCAACAAUAAAGAGUGGAAGUGCUCAACGGUCGCUUCCAACUACUUUGAUGGAAAAUAAA